ACUCCUACGGGAGGCAGCAGUAGGGAAUCUUCCACAAUGGGCGCAAGCCUGAUGGAGCAACACCGCGUGAGUGAAGAAGGGUUUCGGCUCGUAAAGCUCUGUUGUUGGAGAAGAACGUGCGUGAGAGUAACUGUUCACGCAGUGACGGUAUCCAACCAGAAAGUCACGGCUAACUACGUGCCAGCAGCCGCGGUAAUACGUAGG
RNAcentral lists this ribosomal RNA (204 nucleotides) under uncultured bacterium. Its description in RNAcentral is "partial 16S ribosomal RNA". It matches the Rfam family "Bacterial small subunit ribosomal RNA", at positions 335 to 531 of the family's 1533-position model. The record is from RNAcentral.